Molecule: ribosomal RNA, 271 nt
Filed under: uncultured prokaryote
Description: partial 16S ribosomal RNA
Rfam family: Bacterial small subunit ribosomal RNA
Source: RNAcentral
UACGGAGGAUCCGAGCGUUAUCCGGAUUUAUUGGGUUUAAAGGGUGCGCAGGCGGAAGAUUAAGUCGGUGGUGAAAUUUUGCAGCUCAACUGUAAAAGUGCCAUUGAUACUGGUUUUCUUGAGUGUGGAUGAAGUAGGCGGAAUUUGUGGUGUAGCGGUAAAAUGCAUAGAUAUCACGAGGAACUCCGAUUGCGCAGGCAGCUUACUAAACUACUACUGACGCUCAGGCACGAAGGCGUGGGGAUCAAACAGGAUUAGAUACCCGGGUAGU